Molecule: ribosomal RNA, 301 nt
Filed under: uncultured bacterium
Lineage: Bacteria
Description: partial 16S ribosomal RNA
Rfam family: Bacterial small subunit ribosomal RNA
Source: RNAcentral
CAGUAGCCGCGGUAAUACGAAGGGUGCAAGCGUUACUCGGAAUUACUGGGCGUAAAGCGUGCGUAGGUGGUGGUUUAAGUCCGUUGUGAAAGCCCUGGGCUCAACCUGGGAAUUGCAGUGGAUACUGGGUCACUAGAGUGUGGUAGAGGAUAGUGGAAUUUCCGGUGUAGCAGUGAAAUGCGUAGAGAUCGGAAGGAACAUCUGUGGCGAAGGCGACUAUCUGGGCCAACACUGACACUGAGGCACGAAAGCGUGGGGAGCAAACAGGAUUAGAGACCCCUGUAGUCCCUGUCUCUUAUAA